AUUGAACGCUGGCGGCAGGCCUAACACAUGCAAGUCGAGCGGAUGAGGGGAGCUUGCUCCUGGAUUCAGCGGCGGACGGGUGAGUAAUGCCUAGGAAUCUGCCUGGUAGUGGGGGAUAACGUCCGGAAACGGGCGCUAAUACCGCAUACGUCCUGAGGGAGAAGGUGGGGGAUCUUCGGACCUCACGCUAUCAGAUGAGCCUAGGUCGGAUUAGCUAGUUGGUGGGGUAAAGGCCUACCAAGGCGACGAUCCGUAACUGGUCUGAGAGGAUGAUCAGUCACACUGGAACUGAGACACGGUCCAGACUCCUACGGGAGGCAGCAGUGGGGAAUAUUGGACAAUGGGCGAAAGCCUGAUCCAGCCAUGCCGCGUGUGUGAAGAAGGUCUUCGGAUUGUAAAGCACUUUAAGUUGGGAGGAAGGGCAGUAAGUUAAUACCUUGCUGUUUUGACGUUACCAACAGAAUAAGCACCGGCUAACUUCGUG
This 484-nucleotide ribosomal RNA is filed under the name uncultured bacterium. RNAcentral describes it as "partial 16S ribosomal RNA". It matches the Rfam family "Bacterial small subunit ribosomal RNA", at positions 30 to 507 of the family's 1533-position model. The record is from RNAcentral.